AUGAUUGCGAAUGGUUGCCUUCUGUGCUGGCCAGUUUGUUCUGGCAAGUGCACGCUGGUGACUUUCAUCCAAUACCCUGUGCACCUUUGGCCUCUGCUAGCUUCGGCCGGCAGGGGAAUUUACACACACUCGAAUGUAAUGAAAUUUAUUGUCGUGCGCAAGCACUAAUGUA
This 172-nucleotide unclassified non-coding RNA is filed under the name uncultured Sebacina. RNAcentral describes it as "sequence contains ITS1". Lineage: Eukaryota; Fungi; Basidiomycota; Agaricomycetes; Sebacinales; Sebacinaceae. The record is from RNAcentral.